RNAcentral lists this ribosomal RNA (274 nucleotides) under uncultured bacterium. Its description in RNAcentral is "partial 16S ribosomal RNA". It matches the Rfam family "Bacterial small subunit ribosomal RNA", at positions 523 to 796 of the family's 1533-position model. The record is from RNAcentral.
AGACGGAGGGGGCUAGCGUUGUUCGGAAUUACUGGGCGUAAAGCGCGCGUAGGCGGAUUGAUCAGUCAGAGGUGAAAUACCAGGGCUCAACCCUGGAACUGCCUUUGAUACUGUCAGUCUUGAGUUCGAGAGAGGUGAGUGGAAUUCCGAGUGUAGAGGUGAAAUUCGUAGAUAUUCGGAGGAACACCAGUGGCGAAGGCGGCUCACUGGCUCGAUACUGACGCUGAGGUGCGAAAGCGUGGGGAGCAAACAGGAUUAGAAACCCCGGUAGUCC